ACACUCCUACGGGAGGCAGCAGUGGGGAAUUUUGGACAAUGGGCGAAAGCCUGAUCCAGCAAUGCCGCGUGAGUGAAGAAGGCCUUCGGGUUGUAAAGCUCUUUUGUCAGGGAAGAAACGGUGAGAGCUAAUAUCUCUUGCUAAUGACGGUACCUGAAGAAUAAGCACCGGCUAACUACGUGCCAGCAGCCGCGGUAAUACGUAGGGUGCAAGCGUUAAUCGGAAUUACUGGGCGUAAAGCGUGCGCAGGCGGUUUUGUAAGUCUGAUGUGAAAUCCCCGGGCUCAACCUGGGAAUUGCAUUGGAGACUGAAAGGCUAGAAUCUGGCAGAGGGGGGUAGAAUUCCACGUGUAGCAGUGAAAUGCGUAGAUAUGUGGAGGAACACCGAUGGCGAAGGCAGCCCCCUGGGUCAAGAUUGACGCUCAUGCACGAAAGCGUGGGGAGCAAACAGGAUUAGAAACCCCAGUAGUCCCAUG
RNAcentral lists this ribosomal RNA (475 nucleotides) under uncultured organism. Its description in RNAcentral is "partial 16S ribosomal RNA". It matches the Rfam family "Bacterial small subunit ribosomal RNA", at positions 333 to 799 of the family's 1533-position model. The record is from RNAcentral.